RNAcentral lists this transfer RNA (73 nucleotides) under Felis catus (domestic cat). It matches the Rfam family "tRNA". Rfam says of the family: Transfer RNA (tRNA) molecules are approximately 80 nucleotides in length. Their secondary structure includes four short double-helical elements and three loops (D, anti-codon, and T loops). Further hydrogen bonds mediate the characteristic L-shaped molecular structure. tRNAs have two regions of fundamental functional importance: the anti-codon, which is responsible for specific mRNA codon recognition, and the 3' end, to which the tRNAs corresponding amino acid is attached (by aminoacyl-tRNA synthetases). tRNAs cope with the degeneracy of the genetic code in two manners: having more than one tRNA (with a specific anti-codon) for a particular amino acid; and 'wobble' base-pairing, i.e. permitting non-standard base-pairing at the 3rd anti-codon position. Lineage: Eukaryota; Metazoa; Chordata; Mammalia; Carnivora; Felidae. The record is from Rfam by way of RNAcentral.
GCCUGGUUGGCUCAGUCAGUAGAGCAUGUAACUCUUGAUCUUGAGGUCAUGAGUUCAAGCCCCAUGUUGGGCG